RNAcentral lists this unclassified non-coding RNA (332 nucleotides) under soil metagenome. Its description in RNAcentral is "partial contains 5.8S ribosomal RNA, internal transcribed spacer 2, and large subunit ribosomal RNA". The stretch from base 1 to 120 matches the Rfam family "5.8S ribosomal RNA", at positions 35 to 154 of the family's 154-position model. The record is from RNAcentral.
GAUGAAGAACGCAGCGAAAUGCGAUAAGUAAUGUGAAUUGCAGAAUUCAGUGAAUCAUCGAAUCUUUGAACGCACAUUGCGCCCGCCAGUAUUCUGGCGGGCAUGCCUGUUCGAGCGUCAUUUCAACCAUCAAGCUCUGCUUGCGUUGGGGAUCCGCGGCUGCCCGCGGUCCCUCAAAACCAGUGGCGGGCUCGCUAGUCACACCGAGCGUAGUAACUUUACAUCGCUAUGGUCGUGCGGCGGGUGCUUGCCGUAAAACCCCCCAAUUUUUAAGGUUGACCUCGGAUCAGGUAGGAAUACCCGCUGAACUUAAGCAUAUCAUAAGCGGAGGA